GUUCUGCCUAAGGAAGUUGCUUUUGAGAAUUGAGACAAUGAGGGAACUGUCAGUGCUUGUGCAUUGCAAUGGUUCUUAUGCAACUGCAAUACUAAUUUCGCGUGAGCUUGUUUAUAACUUCUUUAUUUGCACGAGGUAUUGUUGGAUCAAAUCUUGCUCUUAGAUGUUAAUUACAUCUGAUCUUUCUAUUUUACUUUCUCAAAAUUUAGGGAUGGUCCAUCAUUAGUAGUCGCAUCAGGUCGUGAUACUAUCUCCAUUUCAAGCUCAAUAAAACAGUUAGCUCCAGAAUAUGUUUUCACUGUGCA
RNAcentral lists this unclassified non-coding RNA (305 nucleotides) under Hevea brasiliensis (rubber tree). Lineage: Eukaryota; Viridiplantae; Streptophyta; Magnoliopsida; Malpighiales; Euphorbiaceae. The record is from RNAcentral.